This 305-nucleotide ribosomal RNA is filed under the name uncultured bacterium. RNAcentral describes it as "bacterial SSU rRNA". It matches the Rfam family "Bacterial small subunit ribosomal RNA", at positions 337 to 659 of the family's 1533-position model. The record is from RNAcentral.
GCCUACGGGAGGCAGCAGUGGGGGAUAUUGCACAAUGGGGGGAACCCUGAUGCAGCGACGCCGCGUGAGCGAAGAAGUACCUCGGUAUGUAAAGCUCUAUCAGCAGGGAGGAAAAUGACGGUACCUGACUAAGAAGCCCCGGCUAAAUACGUGCCAGCAGCCGCGGUAAUACGUAUGGUGCAAGCGUUAUCCGGAUUUACUGGGUGUAAAGGGAGCGCAGGCGGUGCGGCAAGUCUGAUGUGAAAGCCCGGGGCUCAACCCCGGGACUGCAUUGGAAACUACCGAACUAGAGUGUCGGAGAGGGA